Molecule: ribosomal RNA, 253 nt
Filed under: uncultured bacterium
Lineage: Bacteria
Description: partial 16S ribosomal RNA
Rfam family: Bacterial small subunit ribosomal RNA
Source: RNAcentral
UACGUAGGCAGCAAGCGUUGUUCGGAGUUAUUGGGCGUAAAGGGUGCGUAGGCGGUUUGGUAAGUCUGAUGUGAAAUCUAUGGGCUCAACUCAUAGUCUGCAUCGGAAACUGCCGGGCUUGAGUAUGGGAGAGGUGAGUGGAAUUCCUGGUGUAGCGGUGAAAUGCGUAGAUAUCAGGAGGAACACCUGUGGCGAAAGCGGCUCACUGGACCAUAACUGACGCUGAUGCACGAAAGCUAGGGGAGCAAACAGG